GUGUGUGUGUGUGUGUGUGUGUGUGUGUGUGUAAGUGCGCGUGCAUGCUCGCACGCACGCAACC
Molecule: microRNA precursor, 64 nt
Filed under: Myotis lucifugus (little brown bat)
Lineage: Eukaryota; Metazoa; Chordata; Mammalia; Chiroptera; Vespertilionidae
Description: miRNA (ENSMLUG00000027533.1)
Source: RNAcentral